GAUACAGAAGAGAGGAAAGAAGCGAAGUACCUGAGGAGCCUGGGAGGUGGGGGAUGAAAAGGAGUGGAGGCUCCUGCCUGGGGGAGGGGGCAUUUGUGGACCCACAGGGAGGCGAGGUCUGAUGGGUGAGGAGCCAGACACACCUGACAGUUCUCUGUCAGGCUGGAGACCAAGCCAUUUGCUGAUGACAAAUGGCCGGUGAGUACAUUAGAUCUGGGACAGUCUGAGAACCAGUGCACUAGCCUAGAUAGGGGAAGGGAGAGGCCACUGAGCAGGGCCUGCUGGGUCCCACAGGAGCCCCAGGACAGGUGCAGGGGAGCCCAGACGCAGGCUGGCUUCGGGCCAAGGGUGGGGUGAGGAUAGAGGACAGGGGCAGAGGGGGCAUGGAGGUGGGGAGCGAGGCCAGGCCAGGCUGACAGAUUCGGGGUAAAGAGAUCCAGGCACUGGAGCAGCCAUGGAGGGUUUGAAGAACAAGGUCCCCAUUGACAAGGAGGAGCUCAAACCAUUUACUAAAAACAAUGAAUGAGUGAAUAAACCCCCUGUGCUCCCCUGUGUGGCAAGGUUGCCAGCUGGCAGCCCCUGGACCUCAUCUGUUCAGCAAAUGUUUUGUUUGAUUAAUUUGGUUUUGAUGCACAGAAGUUUCAGCUUCUCUUGCAAAAUCAGAAUCUCUGUCAACAGCAGCCUGCAUUCCAGGUGAUGUGGCGAUAGUCAGCCAGAGUGGUGGCAGCCACGUCCUCACACAGGUCAGCACUCUGCCGUUAGCCACAGUCCCCACCUCCCUCGAUGAUUCUCUCAGGCUCUGACAACGUGAGUUUUGCAGCCCCUGCCCUAUUGCUCACAACCCCAGCUGGGUUUCCAGGGCACUGAUAGCCCAGCUCCUCCCUUCCCUGGUCAGUGAAUGUGGCCCAGCCUGUCCAGGUGCCUCCAAAUAGCCACAGGCCCAGCCUGGAGGACAGCACCCCGAGGCUACAGAGUGGAACAGAGUAGAACAGUCUGCUUCCUUCAUGUUGCUGCAAUAAAUGGGGCCCAAGGUCACUCUAGCUUUUCUGGCGAAACCUUCACGCUGAUGACUCAUUGAGCUUCCUAUCACCUGCGAAAGCCCCUACUUCUUGGCACAGGCCUGACACCUAAAAAUAACAACAACACAAUGUCCCCUGUGAGCUUAAAUCUCACAAAGUUCUUUUACACGUUACUUCCCUUCAAUCCUCACGGCAACUGAGUGGCAAAUGUUUCUGUUCCCAGGGAAAACAAAGGCCUGGAGAGGGGUCUUGAACUUUCCAAAGCCUGGACCUGAGGGCCUUCCCUCGGCUGGGAGAGAGUUAGAAAUCCAGCUAAGGUAAGAGACAGAGCAUGGAGAUCAAAGGUCAAGACCAGGAUAUUAGGCUAGACUGGAUUUAAUCUUAACUUAAAAUGUGACUUUGUCUCACAAAGCCUCGGUUUCCCCAUCUGUGAAAUGGGGAUAAUAAUAGCAUCUCCCUUAUAGGGCUGUUAUUAGGAUUUGGGAAGAAGCUACACAGGAGGACUUAGCAUUAUAAUGCCUGAUAUGCAGUAGGUGCUCAAUAACCACCUCAAUAAAA
This 1577-nucleotide long non-coding RNA is filed under the name Capra hircus (goat). Its description in RNAcentral is "lncRNA (ENSCHIG00010028312.1)". The record is from RNAcentral. Lineage: Eukaryota; Metazoa; Chordata; Mammalia; Artiodactyla; Bovidae.